Molecule: long non-coding RNA, 373 nt
Organism: Mirounga angustirostris (Northern elephant seal)
Lineage: Eukaryota; Metazoa; Chordata; Mammalia; Carnivora; Phocidae
Exons: 3
Source: RefSeq, a predicted model, not a curated record
CAGGAAAACAAUUUUGCUCCAAGCUGAAAGCUACUGAAUUCCAGAAAACAAUGAAGACUGGACAAACCAUAUGGACCAUACUGCCCUAAAUCUGAAAGCUGACGAUAUCUAAGAAUUGGCUUGUGCAGUCAGAACUAAAUAACCCAGGAACCUGGACUGAGAACUGAGAGACACCCCAGAUGAAUGCGCCGUCUCAGCCGCAGACUCACCUUGCUGGCAGAGCAGCCAGCAGAGGGAACCUUUUUAAAGUGCCUCAACCUCUGACAAGGACUCAUGGACACCAUAUCUGGCUUUCUGGUCUCUGUCGGUGUGUUCAUGGGUAGUGGCUGGCUUCAGAACACCAAGACCAAGAAUUUCUUCAAAACUCACUGGG